Molecule: ribosomal RNA, 445 nt
Filed under: uncultured bacterium
Lineage: Bacteria
Description: partial 16S ribosomal RNA
Rfam family: Bacterial small subunit ribosomal RNA
Source: RNAcentral
GUAGGGAAUAUUGGUCAAUGGACGAAAGUCUGAACCAGCCAUUCCGCGUGCAGGAAGAAGAUUCUAUGGAUUGUAAACUGCUUUUAGCAGAGAAGAAACGCCUUCAUUGAUGAGGGUUUGACGGUAUCUGCGGAAUAAGCACCGGCUAACUCCGUGCAAGCAGCCGCGGUAAUACGGGGGGUGCAAGCGUUAUCCGGAAUCACUGGGUUUAAAGGGUGAGUAGGCGGGACAUUAGGUCAGUGGUGAAAGUCUGUUGCUUAACGAUAGAAUUGCCGUUGAUACUGAUUUUCUUGAAUUGGGUUGAGGUUAGCGGAAUGUGACAUGUAGCGGUGAAAUGCAUAGAUAUGUCAUGGAGCACCAAUUGCGAAGGCAGCUAGCUGGGCCUUGAUUGACGCUGAGGCACGAAAGCGUGGGUAGCGAACAGGAUUAGAUACCCGUGUAGUCC